GUUUAAUCCCAGGUCCAGUAGCAGUAGAAGCAGCUGCAGGGACUUCACCACAUUAUUCUGUAGUCCAGGAGUAACAUCAUACUGGAUUUGGAAGUUUUAGUGGGGUCAAUGAUGAGACGCAAGGUGAUGACAAACCUUGAUGAAAAGAGAGCAAAGCAUGAAGUGUGAGGUCAAGAGCAGAACACAAUAGACUGAGAUGUCGGGAGCCUGAAUGGGAAGAGGAAAGAGGGUAUGAUACCUCCAACUGACAAAUUAUUUUUAAUUGUCUCAUUUAUGAAAUACUUAUUGUCUCCUCUAUACCAUAUAUAAAUUUAUCUAGGACCUGUUCUAUGGCAAAAAAUAAUUCAGAUUUAUAAUACAUACCAGUAAUGAAAUAAAUGUAAGCCUUGCCCUA
Molecule: long non-coding RNA, 394 nt
Organism: Pan troglodytes (chimpanzee)
Lineage: Eukaryota; Metazoa; Chordata; Mammalia; Primates; Hominidae
Exons: 2
Source: RefSeq, a predicted model, not a curated record